GCCGACGACACCCCCCUUGCUUUCCCCGCUUACCUCCGUGGGUUCGAUGGGCUUCCCGGUCUGGAAGCUUUCCUUCUGGAGGUUAGCGACAUGGUACGUCCACAGCUUGCCUUCGCUGUCGCCACACACGACGUAAGCUCGACCUAAAGGCAGACAGACUGGCAUCCAUGUCAGUUUGGUUCCCAUCGGCCCGGGUGGUAAAGAGGAGGGAAAGGGCUGCGGGGCUUACCGGGACAGGUGUUGAGCGACAGCCCGCUACAAGGAGAAACAAGAACAGCGGGCCUUUCAAUGUGACUCUUGUGAAACCGGGGUUUUAUUUUGUCGCGGUGCUCACUUACUGAAGAGGAAGUUGCCCUGGCGGUGGUUGAAGCAGAGGACUGACAGCGCCCUGCGGCUCGCCCGGAACUCGCCGUAGGCCACGUUGCACCGGGGGUGGAUCAGCUUGACCAGGCCUCGCUUUCCGCCCGCCGCCAGGAUGCUGCAGGGCUGCGCCGGGGCUUCGUCUCCUCGGGACAUCCGCACCGAGGACCACGCCAGCGAGAAGAACUCCUGUGAAGAGAAAUACCAAACUUAUUCAUGUUUAUUUAUUGGGUUGGAGCAGAUUAAGGGCUUUUUAUAAAACUUCCUCUGUGGUUUUAUUUGUUUUCUGAAUCGCAAGUAGGGCUAUGCUACUCAUGAAUGAUAAACAUAACAUACAGGGUGGGCCAAAGGUAGGCUUAGUAGUACCAGUUUAGAAUUAUGAUUUGUGCAAUUACCUAGAUCUCCCAACAGUUGAUUGAAUAAAAAACAAACACACUUAA
Long non-coding RNA from Phyllopteryx taeniolatus (common seadragon), 800 nucleotides. RefSeq lists it as uncharacterized. NCBI's taxonomy places the organism in Eukaryota, Metazoa, Chordata, Actinopteri, Syngnathiformes, Syngnathidae. The record is from RefSeq and is a predicted model, not a curated record. The transcript has 3 exons.